CCUUUUUACCACCAAAAACAGCUCUGUGUACGCGGGGUUCUUUCUCCCUGCUCCCGCUGGAACACCCGCAACCCGGGAUCUGGGAUUCACCGAAAUUGGGAUUUAUUGCACCCCGAAAACCGCUGCGCAUGCGCGGUGGCCGCCACACCCUCAGUGCUGCCGCCUUGUGGACACGCCCGGUACUGCGGCUCCGAGCGCUCCGGGCCCUUCCCGCGGCUCCGCCGGCACCGGGAGCGGGACAUGGAGCUGGAGCGGGACCGGGACAACGACGGGCACUGGCCGUGCGAGGCCGCGGGGCUCUCGGCCGGGGCCGCUCCCGGCAGGAACCGCGGCCGCUGAGCCGGGAGCGCAGGCGCGGAGCCGGGAGCGGCGGGGCCGGGCUCGGAGGAUGAGGGAGCCAGCCCUGCCAGGAGGAAGAGGAGGAGGUGUGGGAGGAUGGAGACAGCGGCCACCAAAGGCUGGGGAAGGCACAGGUCCAGAGAAAGGCUGCCAAGGAAUAAAGCAAGAGCUUUCCCCAGUGAAAACCUGCCCAGUCCCAUGCUGGGUUUGCACACACACAAGGUUCAAUCCCUGCUGGAAUCCCACUCACAGCCUCCAGAGCAAUGUGCAGUUUAAGGUCUCACAGCCUGACCAGGACAAUCUCUUGCCUCUGGACAUGGAAAAUCAAUUUUUCCAUGUUACAGCACCAGCUCCAGAAUCCUCUGAGGCUGAAACAAAGACAAGGAACCUUCUGAGAUGGAAAGAGGCCAGAGCAAGUUGUUGUGGGAAAGGAAAAUGAAAGAUGGACGUGGGCCGUGACAUGAAUUGGCUCCAACGGGGCCCAAGAUCACUCUGGGGUCUGUGGCAGGGACAGCUCCCAGAGCCAGACAGGGAAGGGACCUUCACCCACAUUCCCAAAAAGCUGAGAAGGAAAAACUCCUGCCUGCAGCUGGCUGCAGCUCCUGGAGUCCUGGGGUUUCUGGCACACUCAGGGACAUGGGGUAAUGCCAGAAUCAUUCAAACCUCGGGAAUAAUGGAAUUAAUACCACUCCUUGAGCUCCUGCCCAUCAGCCACUGGCUGCAGAUGGCUGUGGAAGUGAUGGAGGCGUUCAGGGAAUGCUGAUUGUUUUUCCCUUGCUUUGGCAGUCUGGUCAGCAAAAAUGCUAAUUGAGCUCUUCCAGCAGGGAAACAUUUGAGCAAGAGGUGCUGAAAAGAACUGAGUUUCUGGUUUUGAGUCUCUGACUUAAAAUCACCCUGGAUUGUCCAACUUCCAUGGACUGGUCACCGUGGCCAGGAGUGUCCAAUCCUGCUGGAAUGCACUGGACCAGGAGCUCAUUUUCAUUUUGUGCUGGUAAAGACCCUCUGGGUGACCCCCAGUGACUGGAAGGGCCAGACUGGGCUCCCAGGGCACUAAUUCCAGGGGUUCUGUUUUUGGGAACAGCACAGGAGCCGUUCCCUUGCCCAGAGGAGCAGCCAGUGCCUGCCUUGGUUCACAGAUCCCCAGGACUGACCACAGAGGAAAUGACAGGAAUGUGGAAAUCCCCCACACUGGAGUUUGUGGUGCUCUGGAUGACAUCUUGGAUUUUUAAUGUUAAAGGGGGGCUGUGGAAUGACUUCUCUCCUUUUUAUUGUCAUUGUUCUCACUGCUCGUGUUGCUCUCACUGAUACUGUGUGUUGUCAUUAAUAUUAAAUGAUUGUAUUUGACUGGUUUCCAUUAUUAAACUGUUCUGAGCUGGU
Molecule: long non-coding RNA, 1716 nt
Organism: Passer domesticus (house sparrow)
Lineage: Eukaryota; Metazoa; Chordata; Aves; Passeriformes; Passeridae
Exons: 6
Source: RefSeq, a predicted model, not a curated record